This 99-nucleotide non-coding RNA is filed under the name human gut metagenome. RNAcentral's name for it is "SAM riboswitch (S box leader)". It matches the Rfam family "SAM riboswitch aptamer (S box leader)". Rfam says of the family: The SAM riboswitch is found upstream of a number of genes which code for proteins involved in methionine or cysteine biosynthesis in Gram-positive bacteria. The SAM riboswitch acts at the level of transcription termination control. The predicted structure consists of a complex stem-loop region followed by a single stem loop terminator region. The record is from RNAcentral. RNAcentral also lists the same sequence under 2 other names.
CUUAUCAAGAGUGACGGAGGGAACAGGCCCUUUGAUGUCCGGCAACCUGCAUUUUGCAAGGUGCUAAUUCCUGCGGCAUGGCAAUGCCGAAAGAUGAGG